RNAcentral lists this transfer RNA (68 nucleotides) under Rattus norvegicus (Norway rat). It matches the Rfam family "tRNA". From Rfam's summary of the family: Transfer RNA (tRNA) molecules are approximately 80 nucleotides in length. Their secondary structure includes four short double-helical elements and three loops (D, anti-codon, and T loops). Lineage: Eukaryota; Metazoa; Chordata; Mammalia; Rodentia; Muridae. The record is from Rfam by way of RNAcentral.
GAGGAUUUAGCUCAGUGGUAGAGCGCUUGCCUAGCAAGCACAAGGCUCUGGGUUCAGUCCCCAGCUCU